Etheostoma cragini (Arkansas darter) is the source of this 85-nucleotide long non-coding RNA. RefSeq lists it as uncharacterized. The record is from RefSeq and is a predicted model, not a curated record. Lineage: Eukaryota; Metazoa; Chordata; Actinopteri; Perciformes; Percidae. The transcript has 3 exons.
CUGUAAAGUUUCACCUUGUGUAAAAACUUAGAUGGUUUAAGGCAACGGGUUAUCACACAAAUGUCUAGUAAGGUCAACUAUUUUG